CUAACACAAAAAAUAUGUCUGAUUUACUAUACAGGUAUAUAACUUUACAAAUUAAAGUGUACAUAUGGUCAGUUUUAGUUGAUGCGGUCAAAUAAUUUUGUUGUACAAGUCAGCAUGGUCAGCAUGAGGUAUCAAAACUACUGAAAUUUUGUUACGUAUCAAUAUUUUGAAUUAAAGGAGGACAUGCUGGCACCCUAAAUUUAUGCGAACACAAAUUUGUUGUUAUUGUAUUGCAAUAUUGCUGUCCAUUGUAUUAUACAUUGAAUCCUGACAUAAAAAAAUAUGGCUGAUUUACUAUGCGGGUAUAUAGAUUUACAAAUUAAAGUGCACAUAUGGUCAGUU
Molecule: long non-coding RNA, 342 nt
Filed under: Mytilus galloprovincialis (Mediterranean mussel)
Lineage: Eukaryota; Metazoa; Mollusca; Bivalvia; Mytilida; Mytilidae
Source: RNAcentral